RNAcentral lists this long non-coding RNA (1080 nucleotides) under Volvox carteri. RNAcentral's name for it is "long non-coding RNA (VCAR_LNC003454)". Lineage: Eukaryota; Viridiplantae; Chlorophyta; Chlorophyceae; Chlamydomonadales; Volvocaceae. The record is from RNAcentral.
CCACAUACAAACCCGUCGUCAUUACAACAGCCAGCCCAUCUUCCUUCCAGGACAUCAACAUCAACACGCAACACUUGCCAAAACUCAAUUCAUCUGCGGCUUCCCUUGGUAUGUGUCAUGCCGUACACAACAGGUCUUCCAAUACCCCACAGUCUUAUUUAAGCAAUUCAGCCAGUUCCUGUUUGCCAUGGUCAAAACUAUGAAUAUGCCGCGGAGGGUUGCUUUACCCAUGCCUAUGUACACGAUUUUCCUGCCUAUGUACCCCGUGCCUGGGCAUGAUCCUUUAAAAAUAUCCACAGCCUCAAAAAGCGGCUCAGCCGCUGCGUCCGCUAUCACCUAACUGUCCACUUGUGACCCUACUGUGCUGCUUAGGUUCUACCAACGUCCACGACGUGCAUGGGCACUCGCGUGCUUGGCGGGUACUUAUGCAUUGGUACUCCUAGUGGGUGCCAGAUCAGGAAGGCUAUCCCUCUCCUGAUCAUCCCUGUUCGUCAGUAACAUAGCACUGUGGACGAGUAAUCUGGGAGCUGGCCCAUUGGGUUUCCUUCGUUUAAUUCUUGGCUUAUCCAUGAAGUGCCCAUCCAGCAAGUUCGGUGCCGGGAAUCCGUGCUCCGUAUGCUGAUGUGCAUGUCACGGAAAGGGAGAACGGUGGAGAACCAGCUGCAGCGCCAUGAUACACAACGAAGAAUAAGGGGGAACAUUGCGAACACACAUUUCUUUUGCUGCCUGAUGUGACUGCCUUUGGUGCUGCUUCUCAUAUCUCCUGCUUACAUUAGAUGUUCUCGAUGCGCGGAAAUCGUUGGCAAGCUGUAAGAACGCCAGCACUUGCACGAAGGCAAAAAGGCGCAGUCCUAUGGCAUGCUAUUAUACUACCUCUCGAGACUUUGGAUUGUUAUUCACCCAGGAUUGUUGACGGUAGCGGUAUCAUUGGCCCAUUAACUCCCACGCGUGUGUACAGUAAACGAUGAUCAAGUUGGUAACAACUUAGGGUUGCAGGUUACCUUUAGCUUGGAAAGGUAUUUUGCGGCUCCAGAACCAACUCCGCUAAGACAAAACCUGUUGCUCUUUUACGUUGCGGAC